AGCCUGAUGCAGCGACGCCGCGUGAGGGAUGACGGCCUUCGGGUUGUAAACCUCUUUCAGUAGGGAAGAAGGGAAAGUGACGGUACCUGCUGAAGAAGCGCCGGCUAACUACAUGACAGCAGCCGCGGUAAUACGUAGGGCGCAAGCGUUAUCCGGAAUUAUUGGGCGUAAAGAGCUCGUACGGGGUUUGUCGCGUCUGCCGUGAAAGUCCGGGGCUCAACUCCGGAUCUGCGGUGGGUACGGGCAGACUAGAGUGAUGUAGGGGAGACUGGAAUUCCUGGUGUAGCGGUGAAAUGCGCAGAUAUCAGGAGGAACACCGAUGGCGAAGGCAGGUCUCUGGGCAUUAACUGACGCUGAGGAGCGAAAGCAUGGGGAGCGAACAGGAUUAGAUACCCUGGUAGUCCAUGCCGUAAACGUUGGGCACUAGGUGUGGGGGACAUUCCACGUUUUCCGCGCCGUAUCUAACGCAUUAACUGCCCCGCCUGGGGAGUACGGCCGCAAGGCUAAAACUCAAAUGNAUUGACGGA
Molecule: ribosomal RNA, 527 nt
Filed under: uncultured bacterium
Lineage: Bacteria
Description: bacterial SSU rRNA
Rfam family: Bacterial small subunit ribosomal RNA
Source: RNAcentral